RNAcentral lists this long non-coding RNA (220 nucleotides) under Carica papaya (papaya). RNAcentral describes it as "long non-coding RNA (CPAP_LNC012374)". Lineage: Eukaryota; Viridiplantae; Streptophyta; Magnoliopsida; Brassicales; Caricaceae. The record is from RNAcentral.
UUCCUCCCCUGACCAAAACAACCCUAGGCUUAAAAGUGCAGGUCAAAAUCUGCAAUUGAGGGAUGUUUUUUGAAAUUAACGAAUUUGGAAUUUGGGUUUUGAUGUCAUCUCAUCAAAACAUGUAACUAAGUUUACAAUUUAAAUAUCAAUUAUUGAUUUAGGGGCGAGCAUCAUAUCAUAUCAGACCGAAAUUAAAUUGGAAAAGAAAUUUUAAGACCAA